GACGAACGCUGGCGGCGUGCCUAAUACAUGCAAGUCGAGCGGAACUGGGGGAGCUUGCUCCUUCCAGUUUAGCGGCGGACGGGUGAGUAACACGUGGGCAACCUGCCCUGCAGAUCGGGAUAACUCCGGGAAACCGGUGCUAAUACCGAAUAGUUUGGCGCCUCUCCUGGGGCGCUACGGAAAGACGGUUUCGGCUGUCACUGCCGCAUGGGCCCGCGGCGCAUUAGCUAGUUGGUGGGGGAACGGCCCACCAAGGCGACGAUGCGUAGCCGACCUGAGAGGGUGACCGGCCACACUGGGACUGAGACACGGCCCAGACUCCUACGGGAGGCAGCAGUAGGGAAUCUUCCGCAAUGGACGCAAGUCUGACGGGGCAACGCCGCGUGAGUGACGAAGGUUUUCGGAUCGUAAAACUCUGUUGUGAGGGAAGAACACGUACCAACUAACUAUUGGUACCUUGACGGUACCUCACCAGAAAGCCACGGCUAACUACGUGCCAGCCGCCGCAGUAA
This 512-nucleotide ribosomal RNA is filed under the name uncultured bacterium. Its description in RNAcentral is "partial 16S ribosomal RNA". It matches the Rfam family "Bacterial small subunit ribosomal RNA", at positions 28 to 523 of the family's 1533-position model. The record is from RNAcentral.